Molecule: unclassified non-coding RNA, 330 nt
Filed under: soil metagenome
Description: partial contains 5.8S ribosomal RNA, internal transcribed spacer 2, and large subunit ribosomal RNA
Rfam family: 5.8S ribosomal RNA (bases 1-121)
Source: RNAcentral
GAUGAAGAACGCAGUGAAAUGCGAUAAGUAAUGCGAAUUGCAGAAUUUCCGUGAGUCAUCGAAUCUUUGAACGCACAUUGCGCCCAUUGGUAUUCCGGGGGGCAUGCCUGUUCGAGCGUCAUUACAACCCUCAAGCUCUGCUUGGUAUUGGGCCCCGCCAGUUCUGGCGGGCCCUAAAGUCAGUGGCGGUGCCUUCCGGCUCCGAGCGUAGUAAUUCUUCUCGCUCUGGAGACCCGGUUGUGUGCUUGCCAACAACCCCCAAUUUUUUAAGGUUGACCUCGGAUCAGGUAGGGAUACCCGCUGAACUUAAGCAUAUCAAUAAGCGGAGGA